UCCUUAUUAAUGUGAAUUGUACUAUUUUUGUAAUAUGUACAAUCUUUUUGUAAUUAUUUGGUUGAUGCACUUUUCUUGUAAUUACUUUCUAUUUGUUAUAUACUUAUGUAAAGAACCCUAAUUUAAAUGCCUUGUAUACGAGUUGGGGCCAUUUGAAACAUGUAAGACUAUAUUUCCAUAUUUUGAUGCUAGAUAUAUUUUGAUAAUUUUUGUAUUGGUAUUUUUGUGAUAUCCUAGAUGGAUAUAAGGUUAAUGAGUUACCUAUAAGAAUUAGACUUAGCCCAUUAUAGAUUUGGAUUUACGAAAUUGUGUAAUCUUGAUUGUGAGCUUAGGGUGAUGCCUAAGGUAUUCAAAUCCAUAUUUGAACGAAUUAGGACCAUCUUCGAUGAUAGACUUGAGUUACAAUUGGACUUUUCCUGCUUAUGUUGAAAUUACAUAUUUGCAAGCUAGGAGAGGGGUGCACAAAAGGCCCACGGUCUGGUCUGGACCCGACUUGGUAAAGGCAUGGACCAGUCAGGACAGGCCCAAACGACUUGAAAAUACUGUUAUUUUAAAACAAAAAUCCGGCAUGGUCUGGCCUGCAAAAAAAUCUGGGCGUGAGCUUGGGACUGGUCCAACCUGAGGCCUAUAUAACCUAAUUCUUUAUCUAUUUAUUUCUAAUUUUUAAACUUUAAAGUUAUAAUUAAUUAUUAAUGAAGUAUAAAUUUUUACUUAUUUAUUAUUGCAAUUUGUAAGUUGUAAUACAUUAGUUUUAAUUAAUAUAUCAAUAAAUUUAAAAUUUCAAUUAUUCAUUCUUGAUUUCUUGUAAAUAUAUUUAAUUAAUAUACAUUUUUAAUAUAUAUUUAAUUUUAUUUCAAUUUUCUUUAUGUUUCACUUUCACCUAUUUUUUUUUUAAAAUUUAAGAGGAGUAUAUUUAUUUUUGUUCUAAUCAUCCAACUUAUAUUGGUGUGUGCAGUAGAAUGUUAAAAUAAAAUAAAUCUCAAAAAAUUUGCAUCUUUUUUACAAAAUUUUAUUAAUUUAUAUUUUUAAUAUUUAAUAUUUAAUGUUAAAAGAAAAAAGGGAAGGGGUGGACCGGACCAGCCUGGCAAGUCUAAGUCAACGACUUGACCUGACCUGGUCAAAGCCCAAGGCCUGGUAGGCCUAGGUCGAACUAGACUAGGCCGACCUGUUGUGCAUAUCUAACUAAGAGGAAGCUUAAGACCUUUAAAUUCAUAUUUGGAAAAAAAUGGGAUUUUCUUCCCAUGAUAGACCUUUGAUUUGGGCAUGUUAGGGGUCAUUAGUAUUUGUAAAUCAUUUAUGGAUCUUAAAACUAUUUAAGUGACUUUUUAGGCCUUAAGGUAGAGUUUAAGGCCCAAAUAAUAGAUUGUUGUUGUAUUUUAUUGGUGGAUUUAGGGAUGGCUUUCAUACCCUAAGUUGACCCUAGAACAUUUACUUUGGGUGGUAAAAAAAAGGGUUCUUUAUAGAAAUAUACAACAAUUAGAAAGUAAUUACACCAUUAGUGCAUCAACAAAAUAAUUAUAAAAAGAGUGUAAUUAGGACCCAUAUUACAAAAAUAGUACAAUUCACAUUAAUAAGGAAACCUAAAAUCAAAGAGAAAUAACUGCUAUAAUUAAUAAUUCAAAUUCAAAUAUUUGGGAUCUAACAACAAAAAUAAAUUCAAAUUCAAAAUAAUAAUUCAAAUUUAAAUCUUCAUCUCCCUUUCCAUAUUUUCUCUCUCCUUUGUAACUAAGAAAUUCCAUCUAGCUCGUUCAUGGUGUAUGUGUAGCAGAUCUAAAUCUGCAUCUUCCAUUCUCUAAAAUAACUUCAGAUUUAUCUCCAAUACUUGAUUUGUGUACUGAUAUAUGAAAGACUUUUUCACAUUCUGCAACCAAUGUAACAGAAUUAACAACUAUUCACAAUCACCAUAUGCUAAAUAGCCAGACAAAACACGAACAACCAAAACAAAACAAAUAGAAGAAGAAGAAGAAGUCGGAGUUACCAAAACAAAUCAAAGAAGAAGAAGUCGGAGUUACCAAACCAGCAAGAACAGAUCCAAAACGAAUUCGGAGUAGCCGAACAAAGAGGAAAUCACAAAUAAUUUUUUUAUAUGAAUAUUUGGUUACCCACAAAAACUAAAAUGAUUACUUUUGUAUGAAGGUUUGGCUACCAAUUGCACCAUAUUCAAAAUAAUUUUAUUUUUAAAAAUUUAUUUAAAAGCAACUAACAACUACAUAAAUGAAAACUUAGACAUGGCAUUUCAGAUACCAUCUACACGUAACAUUUAGAAACUGUUCUUAAUUUUUUUUUUAUUAAUUGGUAACCCAAUAAAACUGAAUUGGUUACUUUUUUAUGAAGGUUUGGCUACCAACUUAUGAAUAACAUUUUAAAAAUAAAAUUAUUAUGAAUAUGGUGCAGUUGGUAGCCAAACCUUCGUACAAAGGUAAUAAUUUUAAUUUUUGUGGGUAACAAAAUAUUCAUAAAAAAUAAAUUGCAAAGCCAUAAAUUGCAAUAGAAAACAUAACAUGACAAGCCCUUAUGCGUGACCCAGCUUGGAUAAAUGUUUUAGGUGUGGACAACCUAGGCACAACUCUAAUCAAUGUUCUACAAGAGGCGGCGUGAAUUUGAUGGAGGCAGAGAAUAAAGAAUGUGAACUGCAAGAAGAUGAACUAAGAGAAACUUCUCAUGGUAUGACAAUGUUGGAGUGACAUAAGGUGAUGAUGGAGAUAGGCUUUCUCUUGUUGUGAGAAAGAUACUUAUGGCCCCGAAACAAGAUGAGUACCCUCAAAGGAAUAAUAUCUUCAAAAUCCGAUGCACUGUUAAUGGGAAGGUAUGUGAUUCAAUUAUUGAUAGUGGCAACACUGAAAAUAUUGUGUCUAGGUUAAUGGUUAACAAGUUGGGACUGUCUAGGUUAAUGGUGGAGGAGGGCGUUAAUGGUGGAGGAGGGCGGAGGAGAAGACUGACAAAGGCGGAGGAGGCGUGAUUUUUAUUAAGGAAAGAGAAGGUGUGCUAUAUAAUUUACUUAUAUUAAUUAAUUAAUUUAAUAAGUAAAUCAAUACUAAUCCCCUAAAUUAAGGAAUCAUAAUUGCAUACUAAUUCCUUAAAUUAAAGAAUCCUAAUUGCACUAAUAUUGUAAAUAAAUAUAAAGGUUUAUUAAUUGUGUAAAUAUUUUAUGAGUGCACUAUUGUUGUAAUUAUUUUUAAAAAUAUAAUAGAAUAUGUAAUUGUCCCCAAAAAUAAUUUUCAAAAACUAAAGCCUUACUAAAAUUGAGCAAUUCAAAGAAUAUAAAUUAAAUACUUGGAAGGACUCUUGAAUAGAACCUAAAAUACACGUUUCAAAAUGAUUUUAAAAAAUACACGUAAAAUAAAAUACACUCCUCCAGUCCUUUUCGUUACACCUAGUAUAUAUUCUUUUGGCACUGCUCCACCUUUGAUUUCACUCUUAAACUCAUAGCCACCUCCUGCUUCCAUGGGUUCAAACCUUACGGUAAUAUCAUCAAAUUGCCCACCUCACUAAUGAUUAAUGUCUUAAUGUCCUCCAUCACUAAUGAUUUUUGUAGAUCAAUUUUCAUAAUUUUCGAGCACGGUAUGUCACAAAAAGCUUGUAAUUCUUGAACAUUGGAAAUUUGGAAUAUAUUCAAGAUCUAAAAUGUGGCACAGCUGAUUGUGUUUGGAAAAAAGGAUUAGCCCCUUAAAAAUAGAAAGUGAGAAAGUGUACAGUACAAUAGUACAUUACGAGCUAGUGAAAUUUAACCUAAUAGGCAUCAUCUUUUCCAAAAGAGAAGUAAAUUGUCCAAACUGACAUGAUAAUAAUUUGGCAUGUGAAAGAAGAAAUGCACCGAAUCAAAUAAUUUAUUGGGAGUUGGCGAAAGUAAAAAAGGAAAAGAAAAGGGACAAAAUCAUCCACCAAUAAAUUGGUCUUGGCUCAAAAUGGAGAGAAUGGAGCUGUCUGUGUGAACGUCCAUGCCCCAUGUCACCGGUUCAAACUAUCUCAAAGUCCCACAUCAGUUGAACUUGAAUUGAGCAUUACACUUUACAUUAUAAAAGGACUAGCAAGUAUCAUUAAAGCUUAAAUCUUAAACCAAACUUAGGACCAAGCCCUAGGCUGGUCCAAACCUUAGGCCGAACCAGGACACAGGCCGGGUUAAACCAGAUUUUUUUGAAGGCUAGGCCAGGUCGAAUAUGUGCUAAAAAAUUAUGGUUUGUUUCUGGCCUUGUAGACCGGAAUUGUCUGGCCCAGGCUUUGACCAGGCCUAAGUUUAAUCAGGCCGGCUCAGACCAGAUUAAGGCCAAGCCUUAUGUCACAAGCUAUUUGUGCACCACUACUCACAAUGCAUGUUACUAAGCACACACCACAAUUCACCUAGGCACGGAACACUUAACAAACACAAGGGAACUUCUUCAAAACUUGAAAAAUUAAAUAUUAGAAAAGUGGUUACCGUGAUUCACGGAAGUCAGGAGGUGCUUAAUAUAUUUUUCUUGCUUAAACAAGUCCUCAGACUCUAUGGAUCUCGGUUGCGGACCAAUUUAACUGAGUAACAUUUCAAUGAGUCUUUCAUAUUUAAAAUUUAAAAUUAAUUCGGAUGAGUUGCUACAUCUAUUUAGGGUAAAAUGUAAAGUUGACCAUUGAACUUUAGGGGUUUUUGGGUAUUGAGCUCCUUUCUUUUGGUCAACGCAAUUUGAGUCCCUUUCUAUUCAAAAAUUUUGGACUUUGAGCCCCCAGAGCGUUGACCUGCUGACGUGUCACACGUGGAAGAUCUGACGCGGACAUUUUCCACGUGUACAAGCUGACAUGGCCGUGUUUUAUUUUUUUCUAAAAAAUAUGUCCAGUUGCAAGAUUCGAACUCAAAACCUCCAAUUUGAAAUCUUGGUCACAUAACCACCCGAACACCACAAGCCUAACUAUAAAUAUUUUACAAGGAUUAACCUAUAUAACGAAAAAAAUUAUUUCCCCCCCGAAUAAAUUAACAGACAGAACAGAUAAAUUUCAGAUACCCAAAAGCAAGGGUUCGAUAAAUUGAUGCAAAAAGUUAGGGUUCCAACUUGUGGCAAAACUUCAAAUGGCCUCAAAAUAUAAGCCUUGUUUGAAAACAGAGCAUUUCUUAAAGAACCCUGAAAUCCAUCGUACCCAAUUGGACUAAACCCACAACUAAUUGAGUUUUCGUUGUGACAUAAAUUGGUAGAAAACGGGUAGCAGUAAAAAUCAGAACUAGAAAGGGGAAUUCGAAUUUGUUAAGAAAUUGGGUUCAUAGUCCAAAUCGAAGCUAUUGUCAAAUGGAACAUUAAAGAGCGAAAAGAAGCUAGAUUUGGGAGGGAAGAAGGGAGAAUGUAACUGCGACGUGAACGCCGGUGUCGGAGAGCAGGAAGAUGAAGAAUCCAUUGCUUGUAACACCAAAUUACCAUUAUUAAAAUCUGGGUGAUGAUUUGUGAGGAUAUUUUGAGAACGGUUCAUAGUAUUAUUAGCAAACCAAUCAGUUUUGAGUAUUGAUUUGAAGCUAGUGAGAGGAACAACGUUCAUACCUAAAUUUUUACAUGUAUCUCCUUCGCUAUUGUCCUUCACCGCCCAUGAAAUUCCUUUGUCUUCUUCUCCUUCCAACCAUGCGAUUCCAUUAGAGCUUGUUAGCAUUUUCUGGUCCUUCUCUGUGGUUUUUUCUCUCUUUAAAAAUUCGCAAGACAAAUAGAGGAGGAGAAAGGAGAAGAAGAGGGAAAAGGAAAGAAGCUUUUUGAGAGUAUAAUAAGGAGAACAUAUUUCAGAGAGAGAAAGAGAAUGAGGGAUUCAAAUUUUGCAAGGAUUCCUUAUUGUGGAAUAAAUGGAGACCACUACGGGGUUAUCUCCUCUUAUCUAUCUGUUAUGUAGAGAGACCACUAUUAAUGGAACCCUAACUUGAAUUCUUACUUUUGGGUAUAUGAAAAUUUUGAGUUUUAGAUGAGAGAGACGACAAUGGAGAUGAGAUGAUGGUGUAAUUUAGAAAAUCAAAUGAUCUGUUUUGUCUUUUAAUUUAUUUGGAGAAAGGAAUUGUUUCGUUAUAUAGGUUAAUCUUUGCAAAAUAUUAACGGUUAAACAUGUGGUGUUUGGG
RNAcentral lists this long non-coding RNA (6052 nucleotides) under Panax ginseng (ginseng). RNAcentral describes it as "long non-coding RNA (PGIN_LNC012762)". The record is from RNAcentral. Lineage: Eukaryota; Viridiplantae; Streptophyta; Magnoliopsida; Apiales; Araliaceae.